GACGAACGCUGGCGGCGUGCUUAACACAUGCAAGUCGAACGGAAAGGCCCUGCUUUUGUGGGGUGCUCGAGUGGCGAACGGGUGAGUAACACGUGAGUAACCUGCCCUUGACUUUGGGAUAACUUCAGGAAACUGGGGCUAAUACCGGAUAGGAGCUCCUGCUGCAUGGUGGGGGUUGGAAAGUUUCGGCGGUUGGGGAUGGACUCGCGGCUUAUCAGCUUGUUGGUGGGGUAGUGGCUUACCAAGGCUUUGACGGCUAGGCGGCCUGAGAGGGUGACCGGCCACAAGGGGCCUGAGGUACGCAGCAGACGGCUACGGGCGGCAGAAGUCGAGAGUAUUGCACAAUGGGGCGAAGCCUGAUGCAGCAACGCCGGGUGCGGGAUGCCCUCCUUCGGGGUGUAAACCGCUUUCGACUUAGACGAAGCGUGAGUGACGGUAAUGGGUAAAGAAGCACCGGCUAACUACGUG
RNAcentral lists this ribosomal RNA (468 nucleotides) under uncultured bacterium. RNAcentral describes it as "partial 16S ribosomal RNA". It matches the Rfam family "Bacterial small subunit ribosomal RNA", at positions 28 to 507 of the family's 1533-position model. The record is from RNAcentral.